UGGUGAUAAUGAGGACAACUAAUGAGUAAAGAUUUGAACUUUUCCCAGGCUUGGUAUAAAUUUUCACCAGACAUCUGUUUAAAGCUCUAGAUUUUGGAUCUUAGCUU
This is a small nucleolar RNA of Solanum dulcamara, 107 nucleotides long. NCBI's taxonomy places the organism in Eukaryota, Viridiplantae, Streptophyta, Magnoliopsida, Solanales, Solanaceae. The record is from RefSeq and is a predicted model, not a curated record.